UCACUCACUCAUUCACUCACUCACCCAUCUCUCUCUCUCUCUCUCUCUCUCGCUCUCUCUCUCGCUUCAUCAGUUUCUGCAUCAGCUUCAGUCAGGCUAGAAGGGAGUUAGAUGCCACUGAGUCUACUGUCAGGUAGGCAGCAUUAGAUCCUCCAACCCACAGGAUUAUUCACAUUUUCUUUCAGUCUUCCUUCCUCAACAUCUUCUUACUCUUCUUCUUCCUCCUCCUCAUCCUCCUCCUGCCUUCUUUCUCUCUCCUACUUCCACACCCUGCCUCUGAGUGUGUUGGAGAGCGGCACCAUUCGUGUGGUAAAGCAGUGGGAGUGGACCUCAGCGUGUGUAUGAGUGUGUGUGUAAGUACUCUUGUGUGUGUGUGAGAGUACGCUUGUGUGUGUGUGUGAGAGCGAGGGAGCAUCAGCCUCUCCAGUCCUCCACACUCUCUCCGUGGAACAUCCCUUCUUAAAUGGACUUUUAUAUGGGUUUGAGACUCUAUCGCCACUGAAAGCAACGCCACUGCCGAAACUCUACAUGUUGGAAUAAUAUAUAGCUCAGGAAAGUCCCAAGAUGAGUGAGGAAGCUAAGGAAAAAAGCACUGGAAAACCAGCACAUCGCAAGAAGAAAGGAAAAAAGAGUCCGAUCCCAUCAACAUCCGCAGCGACAUCAACAUCAACCUCAGCACCAGGAACUAGUUAAUCUUGCUGCUGCUAAUGACGGUAACCUUGACACCAGCUUUAGUAGUACAGAGCCGGAAGACCCUUUGGAUGAAAGUUCAGCUCAAGCUAAACAUCAUUUGACUAGGAAACAAGCCAGGACAGCCAAAGGAGACUUGCAGUACAAACAAAUCUUCUGAGGUCAAAGCAGUGGGUGAUCGAGGAAGUGUAUGAACCCCGAACCCACCAAUUCAGGGAGAGGCUUGUCCACCUGACUGUGGAGUGCAGAAAGGACAAGACAGUUGUCUACACGGAGCCAGAGUCACAGCUCCCAAAACCCAACAUCGCUACAGCGCCAAAGCCUGCUAAACCAGCUGCUAUUAACAAACAUAAGACAAGGUUCACCAGCUGAAGAACAUUCUGGAAUAUUCAACCAACACAUUAUCCAUAUUCAGUUAGAUUGAUGAAAUAUAAUAUAGAAUGCCUAAUAUGCCCACAACUGUAUUGUAGUAUCGCUAUUGCCAUCUCUUGUACAUAUGUAUACACUCUUAGAAAAUAAGGUUUCAAAAGGGUUCUUCGGCUGUCCCCAUUGGAUAACCCUUUUGG
Salvelinus sp. IW2-2015 is the source of this 1256-nucleotide non-coding RNA. The record is from RefSeq and is a predicted model, not a curated record. Lineage: Eukaryota; Metazoa; Chordata; Actinopteri; Salmoniformes; Salmonidae.